GUGGGGAAUAUUGGGCAAUGGGGGAAACCCUGACCCAGCGACGCCGCGUGAGGGAAGAAGGCCUUAGGGUCGUAAACCUCUGUUGUGUGGGAAGAAGGAAGUGACGGUACCACACGAGGAAGUCCCGGCUAACUACGUGCCAGCAGCCGCGGUAAUACGUAGGGGACGAGCGUUGUCCGGAAUUACUGGGCGUAAAGGGCGCGUAGGCGGUCAUUUAAGUCAGCUGUGAAAUGGUCCGGCUCAACCGGAUCAUGCGGUUGAAACUGGAUGACUGGAGUGCUGGAGAGGCAAGUGGAAUUCCCAGUGUAGCGGUGAAAUGCGUAGAUAUUGGGAAGAACACCGGUGGCGAAGGCGACUUGCUGGCCAGCAACUGACGCUGAGGCGCGAAAGCCAGGGGAGCAAACGGGAUUAGAAACCCCGGUAGUCC
This 427-nucleotide ribosomal RNA is filed under the name uncultured bacterium. Its description in RNAcentral is "partial 16S ribosomal RNA". It matches the Rfam family "Bacterial small subunit ribosomal RNA", at positions 354 to 796 of the family's 1533-position model. The record is from RNAcentral.